CUCACUGAGACUACUGUGGACUCUUGGUCUUGGAAGCUGAGCUGUUCUGGGCCACAGGAGAGGCACUGCAAAGAGCUCACACCCCUCGGGAGCCUGAUAGGAGAAUUAGCAUCUACAUCCAUCUCUCCUCUUCUUCCCCUUGCAAGUGGUGGGUGAGCAGUUCAGCCAGCUCCACCCUGGAGAUGCCAAUCCGAACCUUACAUCUCUGCCGCCACAGUCCAAGGAACACAGCGACAGCGCAGAGUGUGUGAGCUUUGCCAGCCGAGGGGCACAUCUGCUAUGGCAUCGUUGAGAAACCCUGGGUUUAUUUUACAUGGAUGAGUGUUUUGUCUGUCUGUCUGUCUGUGCACUAUAUAAGUGCAGUGCCUAUGGAGGCCAGAAGGAGGCGUUGGACCCCUUGAGCUGCGUUGUGAGACACCCACUAACCUGACUGGCUCUUAUCAAGAUGUGAAUAGAAGAGGACCUGGCCAGUGUUUAUGAAGAUUUCCUGAUACCCAAGAAGAGGGACAUGACACCAAGACUUGAAACUAAAGCUCUAGCCAGGAAACCACAGUUAAUUAGUGUGAACCACACUGGUUCAGUGAAGACAUCUGUGCAAGUCUGAUGACCUAAAUUCAGUUCUCAGAAUUCAUAUAAAGGUGGAAGGAGAGAAUUUAUUUCACAAAGAUCUUCACUGACUGCCAAAUGUGUGCUGUGGCAUGCACACGUAAACACACAUCAGAAGCAUAUUCAAUAGUAAUAAAUAAAAACGUAAGGAGUUAAAAAUAAAAAUCUUUACAAGAAAAUACAGGAAAACGAUUUGAUUUUUAGGGGAUCACCUCUUAUUCUUGUUGUUAUUAUUCUCCUCUUCUUUAUCUUCUUCUUAUAUUGUUUGUUUUUUGGAAAAAUUUUAUUUGCUUAU
This is a long non-coding RNA of Meriones unguiculatus (Mongolian gerbil), 901 nucleotides long. RefSeq lists it as uncharacterized. Lineage: Eukaryota; Metazoa; Chordata; Mammalia; Rodentia; Muridae. The record is from RefSeq and is a predicted model, not a curated record. The transcript is spliced from 3 exons.